GAUGAACGCUAGCUACAGGCUUAACACAUGCAAGUCGAGGGGUAGCAGGGUAGCAAUACCGCUGACGACCGGCGCACGGGUGAGUAACACGUAUCCAACCUUCCCAUAACUCGGGGAUAGCCUUUCGAAAGAAAGAUUAAUACCCGAUAGUACUUAACAAAGGCAUCUUUGAUAAGUUAAAGAUUUAUUGGUUAUGGAUGGGGAUGCGUUCCAUUAGAUAGUUGGUGAGGUAACGGCUCACCAAGUCUUCGAUGGAUAGGGGUUCUGAGAGGAAGGUCCCCCACAUUGGUACUGAGACACGAACAAAACUCCUACGGGAGGCAGCAGUGAGGAAUAUUGGUCAAUGGGCGAGGGCCUGAACCAGCAAAGUAGCGUAAAGGAUGAAGGUCCUAUGGAUUGUAAAUUUCUUUUAAAGUAGAAUAAAGUGAUCACCGUGUGGAUUUUUGUAUGUAUACUAUGAAUAAGGAUCGGCUAACUCCGUGCCAGCCGCCGCCGUAA
Molecule: ribosomal RNA, 498 nt
Filed under: uncultured bacterium
Lineage: Bacteria
Description: partial 16S ribosomal RNA
Rfam family: Bacterial small subunit ribosomal RNA
Source: RNAcentral